RNAcentral lists this ribosomal RNA (301 nucleotides) under uncultured bacterium. RNAcentral describes it as "partial 16S ribosomal RNA". It matches the Rfam family "Bacterial small subunit ribosomal RNA", at positions 509 to 807 of the family's 1533-position model. The record is from RNAcentral.
CAGCAGCCACGGUAAUACGAGGGGGGCAAGCGUUGUUCGGAAUUAUUGGGCGUAAAGGGUGCGUAGGCGGCUUGACAAGUCUUGUGUGAAAUCUAUGGGCUCAACCCAUAGUCUGCACGGGAAACUGUCGGGCUUGAGAAUGGGAGAGGUGAGUGGAAUUUCCGGUGUAGCGGUGAAAUGCGUAGAUAUCGGAAGGAACACCUGUGGCGAAAGCGGCUCACUGGACCAUUUCUGACGCUGAUGCACGAAAGCUAGGGGAGCAAACAGGAUUAGAUACCCGAGUAGUCCCUGUCUCUUAUAC